This 500-nucleotide ribosomal RNA is filed under the name uncultured bacterium. Its description in RNAcentral is "bacterial SSU rRNA". It matches the Rfam family "Bacterial small subunit ribosomal RNA", at positions 24 to 518 of the family's 1533-position model. The record is from RNAcentral.
UCAGGAUGAACGCUAGCGGCAGGCUAACACAUGCAAGUCGAGGGCAACGCGAGUAGCAAUACUUGGCGGCGACCGGCGCAAGGGUGCGUAACGCGUGAGCAACAUGCCCGUAUCAGGGGGAUAAUCCAGGGAAACUUGGUCUAAUACCCCAUAGUAAUUUUGUAAGGCAUCUUAUAAGAUUUAAAGCUUUGGUGGAUACGGAUUGGCUCGCGUGACAUUAGCUGGAUGGUAAGGUAACGGCUUACCAUGGCUAUGAUGUCUAGGGGUUCUGAGAGGAAGGUCCCCCCACACUGGAACUGAGACACGGUCCAGACUCCUACGGGAGGCAGCAGUGAGGAAUAUUGGACAAUGGAUGGAAAUCUGGAUCCAGCCAUGCCGCGUGAAGGAAAGAAGGUCCUAUGGAUUGUAAACUUCUUUUGUAUGGGAGCAAUAAGGCCUACGUGUAGGUUGAUGAGAGUACCAUACGAAUAAGCACCGGCUAACUCCGUGCCAGCAGCCGC